This 285-nucleotide ribosomal RNA is filed under the name uncultured Eubacteriales bacterium. RNAcentral's name for it is "uncultured Clostridiales bacterium partial 16S ribosomal RNA". The stretch from base 48 to 285 matches the Rfam family "Bacterial small subunit ribosomal RNA", at positions 100 to 339 of the family's 1533-position model. Lineage: Bacteria; Bacillati; Bacillota; Clostridia; Eubacteriales. The record is from RNAcentral.
AGCUGCUUUGAUGAAGUUUUCGGAUGGAUUUAAAACAGCUUAGUGGCGGACGGGUGAGUAACGCGUGGGUAACCUGCCUCACACUGGGGGAUAACAGUUAGAAAUAGCUGCUAAUACCGCAUAAGCGCACAGUACCGCAUGGUACGGUGUGAAAAACUCCGGUGGUACAAGAUGGACCCGCGUCUGAUUAGCUGGUUGGUGAGGUAACGGCCCACCUAGUCUUCGAUGGAUAGGGGUUCUGAGAGGAAGGUCCCCACAUUGGAACUGAGACACGGUCCAAACUCC